This 497-nucleotide ribosomal RNA is filed under the name uncultured bacterium. RNAcentral's name for it is "bacterial SSU rRNA". It matches the Rfam family "Bacterial small subunit ribosomal RNA", at positions 388 to 896 of the family's 1533-position model. The record is from RNAcentral.
CCAGCGACGCCGCGUGAGGGAUGAAGGCCUUCGGGUUGUAAACCUCUUUCAGUAGGGAAGAAGCGAAAGUGACGGUACCUACAGAAGAAGCACCGGCUAACUAUGUGCCAGCAGCCGCGGUAAUACAUAGGGUGCAAGCGUUGUCCGGAAUUAUUGGGCGUAAAGAGCUCGUAGGUGGUUCGAUACGUCGGAUGUGAAAAUCAGGGGCUCAACCCCUGACCUGCAUUCGAUACGGUCGAGCUAGAGUUUGGUAGGGGAGACUGGAAUUCCUGGUGUAGCGGUGGAAUGCGCAGAUAUCAGGAGGAACACCGAUGGCGAAGGCAGGUCUCUGGGCCAAUACUGACACUGAGGAGCGAAAGCGUGGGGAGCGAACAGGAUUAGAUACCCUGGUAGUCCACGCCGUAAACGGUGGGCGCUAGUUGUGCGAACCUUCCACGGUUUGUGCGACGCAGCUAACGCAUUAAGCGCCCCGCCUGGGGAGUACGAUCGCAAGAUUA